RNAcentral lists this ribosomal RNA (253 nucleotides) under uncultured bacterium. RNAcentral's name for it is "partial 16S ribosomal RNA". It matches the Rfam family "Bacterial small subunit ribosomal RNA", at positions 524 to 776 of the family's 1533-position model. The record is from RNAcentral.
UACGUAGGGGGCUAGCGUUAUCCGGAAUUACUGGGCGUAAAGGGUGCGCAGGCGGCUUUGCAAGACAGAUGUGAAAUCCCCGGGCUCAACCUGGGAACUGCAUUUGUGACUGCAAGGCUAGAGUACGGCAGAGGGGGAUGGAAUUCCGCGUGUAGCAGUGAAAUGCGUAGAUAUGCGGAGGAACACCAAUGGCGAAGGCAAUCCCCUGGGCCUGUACUGACGCUCAUGCACGAAAGCGUGGGGAGCAAACAGG